GUCUAUCCGAGGCAUCGGGUAGGCGUCCGACACGGUUUUGUCGUUCAACCUCCGGUAGUCCACGCAGAACCGAGUGGUACCGUCUUUCUUGGGAACCAGGACUACCGGUGAUGCCCAGGGGCUGAGUGUUCGAUAACCCCCAACUGCAACAUCUCUUCAAUUUCCUUCCUCAUAUGUUCCCGCACGGAUUCAGGAAUCCGAUAUGGGGUCUGUCACAUGGGAAGCUGUCCCGGGGUUUCCACUCGGUGGGUG
Non-coding RNA from Pelobates cultripes (western spadefoot toad), 252 nucleotides. The record is from the annotation of a GenBank genome assembly. Lineage: Eukaryota; Metazoa; Chordata; Amphibia; Anura; Pelobatidae.